GGGCCGGUAGCUCAGAGGUAGAGCAGGGGCCUUUUAAGCCCUUGGCCGUGGGUUCGAUCCCCACCCGGCUCACCA
This 75-nucleotide transfer RNA is filed under the name Candidatus Latescibacterota bacterium. Its description in RNAcentral is "tRNA-Lys". It matches the Rfam family "tRNA". Rfam says of the family: Transfer RNA (tRNA) molecules are approximately 80 nucleotides in length. Their secondary structure includes four short double-helical elements and three loops (D, anti-codon, and T loops). Lineage: Bacteria; Pseudomonadati; Candidatus Latescibacterota. The record is from RNAcentral.